GACGAACGCUGGCGGCGCGCUUAACACAUGCAAGUCGAACGGAAAGGCCUGCUUUCCCUUGUGGAUUGCGGGUACUCGAGUGGCGAACGGGUGAGUAACACGUGAGUGAUCUGCCCCCAACUUGGGUAUAAGCCUGGGAAACUGGGUCUAAUUCCCGAUAGGACUGCAGGGUGGUGCCUGUGGUGGAAAACGAUUUUCUAGUGGUUGGGGAUGAGCUCGCGGCCUAUCAGCUUGUUGGUGGGGUAAUGGCCUACCAAGGCGGCGACGGGUAGCCGGCCUGAGAGGGUGGACGGCCACAUUGGGACUGAGAUACGGCCCAGACUCCGACGGGAGGCAGCAGUGGGGAAUAUUGCACAAUGGGCGGAAGCCUGAUGCAGCGACGCCGCGUGGGGGAUGACGGCCUUCGGGUUGUAAACUCCUUUCGACCGCGAGGAAGCCACCUGGUGGGAAGGGUGGUGACGGUAGUGGUAGAAGAAGCACCGGCUAACUACGU
This 493-nucleotide ribosomal RNA is filed under the name uncultured bacterium. RNAcentral's name for it is "partial 16S ribosomal RNA". It matches the Rfam family "Bacterial small subunit ribosomal RNA", at positions 28 to 506 of the family's 1533-position model. The record is from RNAcentral.